UCCGAAUGGGGAAACCCGGCCCUUUUGGGUCAUCCUGGACUGAAUACAUAGGUCCAGAGAAGCGAACGCGGUGAACUGAAACAUCUAAGUAACCGCAGGAAAAGAAAUCAACCGAGAUUCCCAAAGUAGUGGCGAGCGAAAUGGGAUGAGCCUUGCACUCUUUAUUUGUAUUGUUAGCCGAACGCUCUGGAAAGUGCGGCCAUAGCAGGUGAUAGCCCUGUAGGCGAAAACAGUAUGAAAGAACUAGGUGUGCGACAAGUAGGGCGGGACACGUGAAAUCCUGUCUGAAGAUGGGGGGACCAUCCUCCAAGGCUAAAUACUCGUGAUCGACCGAUAGUGAACCAGUACCGUGAGGGAAAGGCGAAAAGAACCCCGGGAGGGGAGUGAAAUAGAUCCUGAAACCGCAUGCAUACAAACAGUCGGAGCCUCGUAAGGGGUGACGGCGUACCUUUUGUAUAAUGGGUCAGCGACUUACGUUCAGUAGCAAGCUUAACCGUAUAGGGCAGGCGUAGCGAAAGCGAGUCCGAAUAGGGCGUUCAGUUGCUGGGCGUAGACCCGAAACCAGGUGAUCUAUCCAUGGCCAGGAUGAAGGUGCGGUAACACGUACUGGAGGUCCGAACCCACUAACGUUGAAAAGUUAGGGGAUGAGCUGUGGAUAGGGGUGAAAGGCUAAACAAACCUGGAAAUAGCUGGUUCUCUCCGAAAACUAUUUAGGUAGUGCCUCGUGUCUCACCUUCGGGGGUAGAGCACUGUCAUGGUUGGGGGGUCUAUUGCAGAUUACCCCGCCAUAGCAAACUCCGAAUACCGAAGAGUGCAAUCACGGGAGACAGACAUCGGGUGCUAACGUCCGGUGUCAAGAGGGAAACAACCCAGACCGCCAGCUAAGGUCCCCAAAUAUAGCUAAGUGGGAAACGAAGUGGGAAGGCUAAAACAGUCAGGAGGUUGGCUUAGAAGCAGCCACCCUUUAAAGAAAGCGUAAUAGCUCACUGAUCGAGUCGUCCUGCGCGGAAGAUGUAACGGGGCUAAGCUAUAUACCGAAGCUGCGGAUGCGAGCUUUGCUCGCAUGGUAGGAGAGCGUUCCGUAAGCCUGCGAAGGUGCCUUGUAAAGGGUGCUGGAGGUAUCGGAAGUGCGAAUGCUGACAUGAGUAGCGAUAAAGGGGGUGAAAGGCCCCCUCGCCGUAAGCCCAAGGUUUCCUACGCAACGUUCAUCGGCGUAGGGUGAGUCGGCCCCUAAGGCGAGGCAGAAAUGCGUAGCUGAUGGGAAGCAGGUCAAUAUUCCUGCACCAUUGUUAGAUGCGAUGGGGGGACGGAUCGCGGAAGGUUGUCCGGGUGUUGGAAGUCCCGGUCGCUGCAUUGGAGAAGGCACUUAGGCAAAUCCGGGUGCG
Molecule: ribosomal RNA, 1385 nt
Filed under: Burkholderia vietnamiensis
Lineage: Bacteria; Pseudomonadati; Pseudomonadota; Betaproteobacteria; Burkholderiales; Burkholderiaceae
Description: partial 23S ribosomal RNA
Rfam family: Bacterial large subunit ribosomal RNA
Source: RNAcentral